GAUGAACGCUGGCGGCGUGCCUAAUACAUGCAAGUCGAGCGAACAGACGAGGAGCUUGCUCCUCUGACGUUAGCGGCGGACGGGUGAGUAACACGUGGAUAACCUACCUAUAAGACUGGGAUAACUUCGGGAAACCGGAGCUAAUACCGGAUAAUAUAUUGAACCGCAUGGUUCAAUGGUGAAAGACGGUUUUGCUGGCACUUAUAGAUGGAUCCGCGCCGCAUUAGCUAGUUGGUAAGGUAACGGCUUACCAAGGCAACGAUGCGUAGCCGACCUGAGAGGGUGAUCGGCCACACUGGAACUGAGCCACGGUCCAGACUCCUGCGGGAGGCAGCAGUAGGGAAUCUUCCGCAAUGGGCGAAAGCAUGACGGAGCAACGCCGCGUGAGUGAUGAAGGUGUUCGGAUCGUAAAGCUCUGUUAUUAGGGAAGAACAAAUGCGUAAGUAACUAUGCACGUAUUGACGGUACCUAAUCAGAAAGCCACGGCUAACUACGUG
RNAcentral lists this ribosomal RNA (497 nucleotides) under uncultured bacterium. RNAcentral's name for it is "partial 16S ribosomal RNA". It matches the Rfam family "Bacterial small subunit ribosomal RNA", at positions 28 to 507 of the family's 1533-position model. The record is from RNAcentral.